RNAcentral lists this ribosomal RNA (406 nucleotides) under uncultured bacterium. Its description in RNAcentral is "partial 16S ribosomal RNA". It matches the Rfam family "Bacterial small subunit ribosomal RNA", at positions 30 to 526 of the family's 1533-position model. The record is from RNAcentral.
AUUGAACGCUGGCGGCAGGCUUAACACAUGCAAGUCGAGCGAGCGGCGGACGGGUGAGUAAUGUCUGGGAACCUGCCUGAUGGAGGGGGAUAACUACUGGAAACGGUAGCUAAUACCGCAUACCAUCAGAUGUGCCCAGAUGGGAUUAGCUAGUAGGUGGGGUAAUGGCUCACCUAGGCGACGAUCCCUAGCUGGUCUGAGAGGAUGACCAGCCAAACUGGAACUGAGACACGGUCCAGACGCCUACGGGAGGCAGGAGUGGGGAAUAUUGCACAAGGGGCGCAAGCCUGAUGCAGCCAUGCCGCGUGUGUGAAGAAGGACUUCGGGUUGUAAAGCACUUUCAGCGAGGAGGCGUUACUCGCAGAAGAAGCACCGGCUAACUCCGUGCCAGCAGCCGCGGUAAUUC